Biomphalaria pfeifferi is the source of this 1415-nucleotide non-coding RNA. The record is from the annotation of a GenBank genome assembly. Lineage: Eukaryota; Metazoa; Mollusca; Gastropoda; Planorbidae.
AAAAAAAAAAAAAAAAAAAAAAGACCCCGAUGUAGUUUUUAUUAAAUCAUAACAAAAACUUAACUAAAUCUAUUAAAAUUUCUUAGUAAAAUUUUGAUAUCAAUUUCAUUGAAAAACAUUUUAAUUCAGAUAUUAGCCAUAGCUGUGUACUUAUUUGUUCCAAUUUUUCUCAGAAAAUACAGCCAAGACAACCUAUUUUUUUUUUAUUAACCAUUCUAUUUUUAGAUUUGUUGUCACCAAUUGAAACUAACUGAAUUAGCUUUCAGACAAUCGUUGAACUCAAUUAUCUAUUUUCAUGACUUUAGGAAAGAGCCAGCAUGUUUCUUAAUUGUAAUCUUAUUGGUAGGUUUGUAGAUUAUUUCCAAAAUUAGGACAAUAAUGCCUAAUAAUGUACACAAUUUUAUCAAAAUAAAAUGGAUAACUGUGGUAUGCAACUUGACAAGUAAUUUAUAAAAACACCUACUGGUAUAAAUAUUAAAUGAUACAUAUUUUCUUUUAAAGAUUUAUGAAAACAUAAAAUCCAACUUGAACUUGUUAAGAAAAAUUAGGAGAAAAUUUUGUUCCAAUGUUCAAUGAAUGUUAUUCUGCUUAACUCAUAUUUGCAAUGCUACUGUCAAAAAUUACAAUCUAAUAUAUGUUUACGUCUGUCUUUUUGAAACUGUUUCAAGGUGUUUAAUGAAAUAUUAGUUUGCAUAAAAUUUAAUAACAAUUUGUCCAUAUUAUUUUAAAGCCCUGAAAUUGAAUUAUCUAAGUGAUGUGGCGUUUAAUGCCAAAAAUGAUCAUGUUUUUUUUAUCCCAGAUGUUCAGCUGAACAUUGCAAUUAAGGUUUAAAAAAAAAAAUGGAUGCUUUUGUUUAUUUUGUCUUCCAGCAACAAGAAAAUCAAAUGUAUACUAAAUGUAUCGUAAAAGUACCGGUAUACUAAAUUGACCACAUUUUUUCUUGUAUUUAUUCUGAAUGGAUCAUGUAUGUUCUAUCUUUAAGUAUGUUAUUUUGUUUUAAGGAUCAGAAUUUAAUAAGUUCAAAGAAAUAUUUUGUGUUUUCUAAAUUGUGAUCAAUGUAUUAUUUAUAAUUCUAUCAUUUAAAUUAGACCUUGUAUGAUGUGCAAGUAAUUUUCAAGAUAAAUAUUUCAUUAACAGUUUAUGACCAAGAUGUAUUUUUAAUAUUGUAUCAUUUUUGUAAACUGUUUUGUUCUUGUACAAAAAAAAACAUUUUAAUAAAAUUAUACAACUUUUAAGUAGUUUUGAAAUUCCUACAUUUAAUUGAUAUUAAAUAUAUAGCUCCAUUCAUUUUGUUCAAGAAAAUUUAACAUUACUCAGCAAGUCUACAUUCACAUACAGCAGGAAAGUAAAGGCAGUCUACAUUCACAUACAGCAGGAAAGUAAAAGAAUGCAGUCUACAUUCACAUACAGCAGGA